This 1404-nucleotide ribosomal RNA is filed under the name Triticum aestivum (bread wheat). RNAcentral describes it as "partial small subunit ribosomal RNA". Lineage: Eukaryota; Viridiplantae; Streptophyta; Magnoliopsida; Poales; Poaceae. The record is from RNAcentral.
AUGAUUGUUGUUAAGAAACUUGUAGAAGAUCCUCCAGUGCCGCUUGCUGAAGCAUUUUCUAAUGAAGUUCAAAAUAUCAUGGCUCUCCAACACAAAAAUAUUGUAAAGUUAGUCGGUUUUUGUCAUGAAGGUCAAAAGAAAGUAGUGCAGAAAGACGGAAGGUAUAUUUUUGCAGAGGUUUUUGAAUCUUUACUCUGCUACGAAUACUUACCUAUGGGAAGUCUUCACAAUAAUCUUUUUGAAUCCAAUGGCAUGGACUGGAACACACGGUUCAAAAUAAUGAAGGGAAUCUGCCAAGGCUUACUUUUUCUACAUAAAACUCUUAUUAUCCAUAUAGAUCUGAAGCCUCAAAACAUACUUUUGGGUGAUGAUAUGGAACCAAAAAUUGCGGGGUUUGGUACCUCGAGACCUUUCUAUGAAGAUACAACAUGGUUAAAUACCCACGAUGUCGCGGGGACCUAUGGAUACAUGGCUCCAGAAUAUCUACACAAAGGAGAAUUCUCCGCCCAAUCAGACAUAUAUGCUUUAGGUGUACUAAUCUUGGAGACCACUACAGGAAAGAAGAAUGGCAAGAAAGACCCAUCUGGAAGAGAAUACAUAUAUGAAGUGCAACUUAAUUGGAUGAUUGAUUAUAUAGCGUCCAAGCACUGUACGCUUGAUGUAGAUUCCUUGUGGCAGAUAAGAGCAUGCAUUCUUAUUGGACUAAAAUGUGUGCAUGCUGAUAGGAAGAUGAGACCUUCCAUACAAGGCAUUGUUGACAUGCUUGAUGGACGGUUGGCAUGGUCCAGUAGGCGUCUGAUCGUGCCAGAACCUUUGGCAUGGUCCAGUAGGCGUCUGAUCAUGCAACCUCCAGAGCUCCGCUUCUCUUUUGAGCCAAAAAGGUUGAUCUCCUGCUCGUUUUCUCUAACGAACACAACAGAUGGUCAUAUCGCCUUCAUGCUUGUAACGGAAAAUCCGAGGAUAUACCUUACAAAGCUACCACUUUGCGGUGUUGUGCCGCCAAAUCACAUCUACACCAUAAAUGUGACCAUGCGCGAGCAUAAGGAAUCAAGAAAUGGCGAGUUUCUGACCCUCCGGAGCGGUACGGCGCGUGAGGAGCAACUCACGAAUGCCCACCCAGAUUCCUUAGCCGGUGAUGAGGUGAAAGAGGUGAAGCUGUGUGUUGUUUGUGACCCACAAGAGGGUACAACCUCAAAUCAGUCGAUCCAAUCAGCAGCAGAGGUCAUAGCCAGUCAGAACUAUCGGCUGGUGCUGUCCGUAGACGUGCACCCAAAUAAACCAUGGAUCUUGACGAGCAAUCGGAGGGGUUGUGUUUGCAUUUGGAACUACCAGACCAAGACAGAGGAAAAUUCCUUUGAAGUCAGCGCAGAGGAACCAGUAUAUUCGGCAACGUUCAUUGAAUGA